This is a long non-coding RNA of Panicum virgatum (switchgrass), 426 nucleotides long. RefSeq lists it as uncharacterized. NCBI's taxonomy places the organism in Eukaryota, Viridiplantae, Streptophyta, Magnoliopsida, Poales, Poaceae. The record is from RefSeq and is a predicted model, not a curated record. The transcript is spliced from 4 exons.
UCUGCUGGUUCGGUGCCAGUGCUGUGACAUACGCUGAGUUCUUGCACCUCAGCUGCAACGCCACCGAGCCGGACGCAAGCCUGUGUACUCCAUCACACACUCGAUGACACGAAUGCGUGCCUGCCAAGGCCAUCUUCCUUAGCUCCAUGUGGAAUACAUUGACCCUUUACUUGUCUAUCAGAGGGAAAGGAAGCAUGAUGUUAUUUUUCAUAUGGUAAAUAUCGCUUGAUUAGGUAUAGACACAAUACGAUUGUGUUGGCAGUGGCACAAAGUCUCUCAUGUACAAAAAUACAGCGACCAUAUGGUUUGGUUCGAAGCUGAAGGCAAGAUGCAUUGGUUUUGUUUUUAUGUCGGAUUGGUUGGAAGCAUGAUGGAUGGAUUAAAUAUAUAUAUAAUAAAUUUGAUGUGGAUGUGGUUUGGACAUCA